This 365-nucleotide long non-coding RNA is filed under the name Numida meleagris (helmeted guineafowl). Its description in RNAcentral is "lncRNA (ENSNMEG00000003477.1)". Lineage: Eukaryota; Metazoa; Chordata; Aves; Galliformes; Numididae. The record is from RNAcentral.
GUAAGGAACAAGCCUCCAUUUCAGUGAGAGUCAUCUUGGAUCAUGGUGCCUUCUUAUAGAUCUCUGCCAGCUACAAAGCCUCCAAGGGAGAGCACAGUGCUAUAAAGGCCUGGCUGUAGGAGAGUGCUGCAGGAAGCUGGAGAGGGCAGAUUCUCAUCUAUACAUUCAAUUACAAAGGUACUGAAAUAAGUGUUUUUAGCAGAAUUAUAUUUAGAAGGAACUUUUUAGAAGAAUGGCUGAAGAUGCAGCAUCAGAUCUCAAGAAGCACCUUUUGUAAUGAAACUAUCAAGUCUAACUUAUUUCAUGGAUUAGAAGUGGGAGACCAACUUCUUUGCCUUCAAAUCCUGAGGAGUUUCAGAAGUUAG